This 463-nucleotide ribosomal RNA is filed under the name uncultured bacterium. RNAcentral describes it as "partial 16S ribosomal RNA". It matches the Rfam family "Bacterial small subunit ribosomal RNA", at positions 28 to 507 of the family's 1533-position model. The record is from RNAcentral.
GACGAACGCUGGCGGCGUGCUUAACACAUGCAAGUCGAACAGAAAGGCCUUUUCGGAGGUACUCGAGUGGCGAACGGGUGAGUAACACGUGGGUGAUCUGCCCUGCACUCUGGGAUAAGCCUGGGAAACUGGGUCUAAUACCGGAUAGGACCGCACUUUAGUGUGUGUGGUGGAAAGUUUUUUCGGUGUAGGAUGAGCCCGCGGCCUAUCAGCUUGUUGGUGGGGUAAUGGCCUACCAAGGCGGCGACGGGUAGCCGGACUGAGAGGUUGGUCGGCCACAUUGGGACUGAGAUACGGCCCAGACUCCUACGGGAGGCAGCAGUGGGGAAUAUUGCACAAUGGGCGCAAGCCUGAUGCAGCGACGCCGCGUGGGGGAUGACGGCCUUCGGGUUGUAAACUCCUUUCGCCAGGGACGAAGCGUUUUGUGACGGUACCUGGAGAAGAAGCACCGGCUAACUACGUG